AUGCCUGGGCAAGAGCGUGGAGGCCCCAGAGUGGGUCUGACGACACUGUUGAUGAAGAUCUUGGCUGUGACCUCUGUGGGAAAUGAGCCAUGGACCAACCAAUAUUCAACAUACCUAAUCUGAUUUACUCAUCACCAGUGAUGACGAUCUUGUCUGUCACUUCUGUGGAUAGAAAGCAACGGGACUCAUGUAAGUAACCACGUUUGUGUUC
RNAcentral lists this long non-coding RNA (211 nucleotides) under Bos mutus (wild yak). Its description in RNAcentral is "lncRNA (ENSBMUG00000004926.1)". The record is from RNAcentral. Lineage: Eukaryota; Metazoa; Chordata; Mammalia; Artiodactyla; Bovidae.